Molecule: non-coding RNA, 814 nt
Organism: Mus caroli (Ryukyu mouse)
Lineage: Eukaryota; Metazoa; Chordata; Mammalia; Rodentia; Muridae
Source: RefSeq, a predicted model, not a curated record
CUAGUCUCCUCUUGGGAACUCUCCUGGAUAUCUGCAUGGCUUCUUUCUUAGUCAGCCUAGGUGACCUAAACUACAGGAAUUUAUUUUCUCAGUAUCCUGGAAGCUGAGAAGUAUGAGAACACUUCACUGUGAGUCACCUUGUAACUUUGGGAAUGCUUUUUCUGUUAAAAAUGAGACCCAAAGAAGGUCUCAUCUUAUUUCAGGACAACUUCACACAGAUGGCUGGAAAACUAUCAUUGCCUGCACGUUGGGAAUGGGGUCGUUUCCGCUUACCUCAUAGCGUCAUUUCCGCUUACCUCACAGCGUCAUUUCCGCUUACCUCACACUGCUGUUUCCGCUUACCUAACAGCCUCAUCAGGUGACGGUCUAUCUCAUUUACUGUUCUGUUUUAUGUUAUGUUGUGGCUAUUUUUAUUUUUAUUUAUGUGUGCGCACCCACACAGGCCAUCAGGUCCUCUAGAGAUGCAGUUCCAGGUAGUUGUGAGCUGCCCAGUUCUGAGAACCAAAUUCAGGUCGUCCGGAAGAGCAGCGAGGGCCCCUAACUGCUGAGCCUCGUGUUUUGAGAAUUGCCCUCUCUUGGAUUCCUGUGAGUCACUUGUCCCCUGUGAAGCGGCUUGAGAAGAAUGCCUGGCAUCAUUUGUGUGCUCUAACUCCAACUGGAGAUGUUGACUGUGCUAUCGUCCCAGCCAGCUUUUCCUCUCAAUGUUGUUUUUUCUUGAAGAAGUUUCUUUGUUACUGUUCAGCUUAAAUGAAGUCAUCACUGAAGGAAAGAGCAGAAGGAAUUCGGAAUAGUUUUAAUAAACUUCUGAACCCAG